AUUGAACGCUGGCGGAAUGCUUUACACAUGCAAGUCGAACGGUAGAGGGGGCAACCCCUUGAGAGUGGCGAACGGGUGAGUAAUAUAUCGGAACGUGCCCAGUCGUGGGGGAUAACGUAGCGAAAGUUACGCUAAUACCGCAUACGAUCUAAGGAUGAAAGCGGGGGAUCGCAAGACCUCGCGCGAUUGGAGCGGCCGAUAUCAGAUUAGGUAGUUGGUGAGGUAAAGGCUCACCAAGCCAACGAUCUGUAGCUGGUCUGAGAGGACGACCAGCCACACUGGAACUGAGACACGGUCCAGACUCCUACGGGAGGCAGCAGUGGGGAAUUUUGGACAAUGGACGCAAGUCUGAUCCAGCCAUUCCGCGUGCAGGAUGAAGGCCCUCGGGUUGUAAACUGCUUUUGUACGGAACGAAAGGUUUGUCUUAAUACGAUGAGCUCAUGACGGUACCGUAAGAAUAAGCACCGGCUAACUACGUG
Molecule: ribosomal RNA, 479 nt
Filed under: uncultured bacterium
Lineage: Bacteria
Description: bacterial SSU rRNA
Rfam family: Bacterial small subunit ribosomal RNA
Source: RNAcentral